Molecule: ribosomal RNA, 522 nt
Filed under: Triticum aestivum (bread wheat)
Lineage: Eukaryota; Viridiplantae; Streptophyta; Magnoliopsida; Poales; Poaceae
Description: partial small subunit ribosomal RNA
Source: RNAcentral
AUGAGUCUCCUCAGCUGGAACUGUCGGGGUCUGGGGCAACCCCGGACAGUUCAGGAGCUCGUGUGCUUGGUGCACACUUAUCGCCUAAAGAUUGUCUUCUUGUCCGAGACGCGGCAACAUGAAGAGAAGGUGAAAGGAAUCAAGUGGAGACUGGGACUGAAGCACUGCCUUUCUCAUGAUGGUAAGGGUAAGGGUGCGGGCAUUGCCUUGUAUUGGGAUGAGUCAAUAAAAAUAAAAUGUUUGUCAUAUGGACCACGGUACUUUGAUGUGUUGGUGACUGAUGAUCCUCAUGGCCCUUCGUGGCGAGGUACUUUUGUCUAUGGUGAACCGAGAGCACAGGAUAGACACUAUAUGUGGUCCUUGCUGAGGAGAAUUAGGCCAAAUGCAAGUGAACCGUGGUUGAUGAUUGGCGACUUCAACGAAACUCUGUGGCAAUCUGAGCAUUUCUCCAAUUCUAAAAGAUCAGAAGGCCAAAUGGCUAGGUUCCGAAGUGUUCUCAAUUUCUGUAAUUACAUGAUCUAG